UAUCUAGCACCAAAAUGGAUACAGAUAAACGACAUUCUAAAACUUGGGGUAAUAAUCUUUUAUUCAGUACCAAUCUGUUUAUUCACACAUACAUAUUUAUAUAUAUGAUCGUAAGUUUACUUAAUUAUAUCAUCCUCUUCCAUUAGGUUUUUUAUUGUAUCCUCCACGUCCAUCAGGUUUUUCAUUAUAUCCACUUCGACCAGUCGGAUUUUCAUUGUUAGGUUUUUUAUUGUAUCCUCCGCGUCCAUCAGGUUUUUCAUUAUAUCCACUUCGACCAGUCGGAUUUUCAUUGUAUGCUCCUCGUCCAUCAGGGUAUUCAUUAUAUCCACUUCUACCGGUUGUAGUUUCAGCUAACAGAGUUCUUCGUCC
Molecule: long non-coding RNA, 369 nt
Filed under: Jatropha curcas
Lineage: Eukaryota; Viridiplantae; Streptophyta; Magnoliopsida; Malpighiales; Euphorbiaceae
Description: long non-coding RNA (JCUR_LNC000660)
Source: RNAcentral